Long non-coding RNA from Vulpes vulpes (red fox), 2364 nucleotides. Lineage: Eukaryota; Metazoa; Chordata; Mammalia; Carnivora; Canidae. The record is from Ensembl.
CGGGGGAUGGGGGCAGGACCUACACGGAUGAGACCCUUACACGGAGCUAUGAGGGCUGAGAAGGACCCAGGUGGGUGAAGGCAGAGGGAACAGCAAGUGCAAAGACCCUGAGGUGUGGUUGUAUGUGGUCUAGCUGAGGAGGAGGAAUAAGGCCAGGCCACAGCUGAGGCAGCAGCAUGACACAUGGAGAGGACGCAGAAGCUAAAAAGGGAGACGCAGGAAGAGACUUCGUGAGCUUCGGAAGAGUCCAGAUUUUAGCUUUUAGAAUAACCUGGGGGGUGGUGUAUUAUUACUUCUGCUCCCAUUUUACAGUUAAAGAAACAGAGAAUAGCACGUAAUAUAUAGGCAAGUACUGGGUUUAGGAUGGGUUGCUGUUUGGUGGGGUACCUCCUCUGAUGCUUGGAAGUGCAGUGUGGGUGGGGGCAGGCAGCCAGCAGAGUAGCCAUCAGGACAUCACUCUGAAUGGAGGGGCAAGGCUAGGAAUGUGCCAGAGGCUUAAAGAUAGGAGCCCCCCCUCCCACCUUGGGCUUUCUCCUCUGCUCUCUCCGGAGCAGUUGGAAGACAUUCGUGGGAAAAGAGGUGACUAUCAUGAUGGUCCUCAUUGCCGGACCAGAGAAGAUAGCAGGUAGGUCACUGGGCUGUGUCUACUGCACUGGCUUUCCAAGUAUCCAACCCAAAGGGAAGUGGUACCCACAGCAUCCACAGUGAGGGGAGGCUUGAUACCCUAGCUCUGGGGAGGGAGCUCAUCUAUAGACUGGCAAGACUUGGGUUGGGAGUGCGGAGGUUUGCAGAAAUGCACUGGCAACACAGCAGGGCUGAACCUCAGGCAAGCUGCAGACACUGAGGAUAACUCAUACCCCUCAUGCAUGUUCCCAGAGCCCCCAGAGUCUCCUUCCACUAGAGGAAGCAUCCAAAGACUUCCUCUCCCCCCGCCCCCGAAGAGUGAGGGCUAUGUUGCCAAGGCAAGAGUUCGUGCAGGGCCACCAUUCAAUCUCCUGCUGGGAGCCAGGUUGAGCUUAUACAAGGUGACCUCUAUAGAGCGCUAUGAUUCCAUAAACAGAAAGCCAAAUCAACAGGUGAUUACUUCAGUACAUCUUCACGACUGGAUUUUUGGCAGAAGAUGCCACCUGCUACUGUCUACAUGGAUAGAAAACAAUCCUUCACCCCUAGCUUGGCCCCAAGCAGGCUCCCUAUCUACCAUGACCCCCUCCCAUGUUGUGCAUGAGGAUGAAUGGCUUCCCCCCAACCCACCUCCCACCCUUCCAUCCAUCACCAGCUGCCUGUCUGUGGCCUUCGCCAGAAUCUCCAGCCUUCCCCCGCUGAAUGCUCCGGAGACCCCCCUCCAAUUCGUGUCUCCUGCCUGAGCUCUAAAUUACCCUGACAGCUCGUCCUUGAUAAGGAACGGCUGAAGAUCAUGUUUCCCAUCAGGGGUUGACUAGCUCUGAAAUACAAAGUCCAAGACUCCAAAGUGCUGGCUGUCUCCUGGAAAACAAGGAAGGAGCCUAACCAGCUGGGUGGUGCUUACUUGAAUUAUAAGAGAAAGGGGCUGGUGGGGGUUGGUCUUUUUAUUCAUUUGAAGAGAGCUUAUCAGUCCCUUGGUUUCAGUUGUGCCCUUCCUGGUCAUGUGUUCCAUAGCUGAUCCUCUCAAGAUUCCAGAUAGCAGAGUUCUUGGGUGGUGUGGUCCCAUCUGUCAGAUGAGUAGACUGAGGCCUGGAGACGGCACUCAAGCCAGAUGCUCAAUAGCUGUAAAAGGGCCACAGUGUCUGGGGCAAUGCCCAUGUCUCUCUCCUGGCUAGGUCAUAUAAGGACCAGGUGGAUAGGAGAUUGUGAUGAUUUGUUUAUCCUCGACUGAAAGACUGCUGCUCUCUAUCAGGGUGGCAGGCACAUUGAGAGCCAUAUGAUGUUUUGAGAGUGGAGUCUCCCACUUGAGGCUGAAUCAAGGCUGUUUUCCCACAUGACUGCCUUGUCAGNUUGUUUAUCCUCGACUGAAAGACUGCUGCUCUCUAUCAGGGUGGCAGGCACAUUAAGAGCCAUAUGAUGUUUUGAGAGUGAGUCUCCCACUUGAGGCUGAAUCAAGGCUGUUUUCCCAUAUGACUGCCUUGUCAAUUUGGUUCCGACCUCAGAACAAGGAGCAGGUCCAAGUCCUGGGCUCCAGUGGGAGAGCUGGGCUGGGGCUGAGCAAGAGUGGGGUGCUGAGGUUUGUUUGCUGGCUGCAGCAGAGGGUCCCAUGAUGGUGUUUCCAGGGCUGAAGGGGUGGGCAAAGGUAAAUCCAGGCAGGAGAACCAAAGUCCACAAAGGCCUGGACAGGUAGGAGAAAGACAACAGAACUGAAGAGAGACAGGAUGCCUCUGAGCUGUAGAUUAG